GUCCACGCCGUAAACGAUGGAUACUAGCUGUUGGGAGCAAUCUCAGUGGCUAAGCGAAAGUGAUAAGUAUCCCACCUGGGGAGUACGAACGCAAGUUUGAAACUCAAAGGAAUUGACGGGGGCCCGCACAAGCGGUGGAGCAUGUGGUUUAAUUCGAUGAUACGCGAGGAACCUUACCAAGGCUUAAAUGUAGAUUGACCGGUUUGGAAACAGACUUUUCGCAAGACAAUUUACAAGGUGCUGCAUGGUUGUCGU
This 255-nucleotide ribosomal RNA is filed under the name uncultured bacterium. RNAcentral describes it as "partial 16S ribosomal RNA". It matches the Rfam family "Bacterial small subunit ribosomal RNA", at positions 793 to 1055 of the family's 1533-position model. The record is from RNAcentral.